Non-coding RNA from Rattus norvegicus (Norway rat), 276 nucleotides. Lineage: Eukaryota; Metazoa; Chordata; Mammalia; Rodentia; Muridae. The record is from RefSeq and is a predicted model, not a curated record.
GGCAAGUAAGUGUCUUAUUGUAAACCCUAAAGUGAAAUUAAAAAGAAAAAACUGAAAGAUUCCGCACUCCAAUUGAACCGUGAUGUCACCUGGACAUCCUAACCUGAGCAAUUACAUAAGGUCCACAGCAAGAAGUUUGAUCAUGGCAACUCAUUAAACAUUAAAUUGAUAUGGUCUCCAGAAAUGGGAGAAAUGCAAAGAAAUGACUUUUGUACUUUUGUCGUAUGUCAUGCUUAAAAUAAUUUUGAGAAGUUUCUUUAAACCAGUUUGCACACA